Molecule: ribosomal RNA, 490 nt
Filed under: Phyllosticta coryli
Lineage: Eukaryota; Fungi; Ascomycota; Dothideomycetes; Botryosphaeriales; Phyllostictaceae
Description: eukaryotic LSU rRNA
Rfam family: 5.8S ribosomal RNA (bases 140-293)
Source: RNAcentral
CUAGAGUUGUAGGCUUUGCCUGCUAUCUCUUACCCAUGUCUUUUAAGUACCUUACGUUUCCUCGGCGGGUCCGCCCGCCGAUUGGACAAUUUAAACCAUUUGCAGUUGCAAUCAGCGUCUGAAAAAACUUAAUAGUUACAACUUUCAACAACGGAUCUCUUGGUUCUGGCAUCGAUGAAGAACGCAGCGAAAUGCGAUAAGUAGUGUGAAUUGCAGAAUUCAGUGAAUCAUCGAAUCUUUGAACGCACAUUGCGCCCCUUGGUAUUCCAUGGGGCAUGCCUGUUCGAGCGUCAUUUGUACCUUCAAGCUCUGCUUGGUGUUGGGUGUUUGUCUCGCCUCUGCGUGUAGACUCGCCUCAAAACAAUUGGCAGCCGGCGUAUUGAUUUCGGAGCGCAGUACAUCUCGCGCUUUGCACUCAUAACGACGACGUCCAAAAGUACAUUUUUACACUCUUGACCUCGGAUCAGGUAGGGAUACCCGCUGAACUUAA